AUUGAACGCUGGCGGCAUGCUUUACACAUGCAAGUCGAACGGUAACAGGCCGCAAGGUGCUGACGAGUGGCGCACGGGUGAGUAAUGCAUCGGAACGUGCCCAGUCGUGGGGGAUAACUACUCGAAAGAGUAGCUAAUACCGCAUACGAUCUAUGGAUGAAAGCAGGGGACCGUAAGGCCUCGCGCGAUUGGAGCGGCCGAUGUCAGAUUAGGUAGUUGGUGGGGUAAAGGCUCACCAAGCCAACGAUCUGUAGCUGGUCUGAGAGGACGACCAGCCACACUGGGACUGAGACACGGCCCAGACUCCUACGGGAGGCAGCAGUGGGGAAUUUUGGACAAUGGGCGCAAGCCUGAUCCAGCAAUGCCGCGUGCAGGAAGAAGGCCUUCGGGUUGUAAACUGCUUUUGUACGGAACGAAACGGCUCUGGUUAAUACCCGGGGCUAAUGACGGUACCGUAAGAAUAAGCACCGGCUAACUACGUG
RNAcentral lists this ribosomal RNA (482 nucleotides) under uncultured bacterium. Its description in RNAcentral is "partial 16S ribosomal RNA". It matches the Rfam family "Bacterial small subunit ribosomal RNA", at positions 30 to 507 of the family's 1533-position model. The record is from RNAcentral.